GGCCUAAACCCGUCAUUCUUGGCGGGCAUGGCGUCAAAUCCGGUUAGGGAUGAAGAUCCCAUCGUUGAGGGUUCCCUAACCGGUCAUGCAGGGAAACUUGCAUGUUCUGCCCGAAAGGGCGGA
This 123-nucleotide small RNA is filed under the name unclassified sequences. RNAcentral describes it as "LOOT RNA". It matches the Rfam family "LOOT RNA". Rfam says of the family: Latescibacteria, OD1/Parcubacteria, OP11, TM7. Lineage (Microgenomates, aka OP11) The record is from Rfam by way of RNAcentral.